RNAcentral lists this ribosomal RNA (406 nucleotides) under uncultured bacterium. RNAcentral's name for it is "partial 16S ribosomal RNA". It matches the Rfam family "Bacterial small subunit ribosomal RNA", at positions 30 to 526 of the family's 1533-position model. The record is from RNAcentral.
AUUGAACGCUGGCGGCAGGCCUAACACAUGCAAGUCGAACGAGUGGCAGACGGGUGAGUAAUGUCUGGGAAACUGCCUGAUGUAGGGGGAUAACUACUGGAAACGGUAGCUAAUACCGCAUACCAUCGGAUGUGCCCCGAUGGGAUUAGCUAGUAGGUGGGGUAAAGGCUCACCUAGGCGACGAUCCCUAGCUGGGCUGCGAGGAUGACCAGGCACACGGGAACUGAGACACGGUCCAGCCUCCUACGGGAGGCAGCGGGGGGGAAUUUUGCACAAUGGGCGCAAGGCUGAUGCAGCCAUGCAGCGUGUAUGAGGAGGGCCUUCGGGUUGUAAAGUACUUACCGCGGGGAGGCGUUACCCGCAGAAGAAGCACCGGCUAACUCCGUGCCAGCAGCCGCGGUAAUUC